GGUAUUCUUACAUGAUUGUUGAUGCAUGUUGAUGCUUAUAAUGCUCAUUGCUAAUCGUUAAUUGAUUGUUAAUCAUGUAUGAAGUAUAAACGAAGAAUAUUAAGGUUUUGUUAAAUCUUAAUGAUGAAGUAUGUUGGAUAGUGUUCCACAUAGUAAAUGAAGAGCUUUAUGCUAUAUAAUUGUGAGUGAAUUCAUGAAAAACAUAUACAUGCAUUCAUGAAU
Molecule: long non-coding RNA, 222 nt
Filed under: Trifolium pratense (red clover)
Lineage: Eukaryota; Viridiplantae; Streptophyta; Magnoliopsida; Fabales; Fabaceae
Description: long non-coding RNA (TPRA_LNC003642)
Source: RNAcentral